CUCGAUGCACUAUCCUCGCGGCUUUCGUGUAAAGCUACGCUGCUCGCUAAUGUUCGAUAUUAUUCAAAUUUUCUUUCCGACCGGUGUUUCGUACGUAACGGAUCGCUUUAAUCUAGUCUCAGUGAUCUUUCUGAACGUUAUUUAUGGUUCCGGAACGUAGAAAGCGUUAUUGCGUGCAAGGCACGCGUUUGCCAAUAUCUAAGUGACCUCACUGCCGGUACUCUUUUGUUCUUUCUAACCGAAGGUCGAUACCGUUCGAAUCGCACUUUCUCAUUGAUCUUCCAAACUCUCUUCGAAGGACCUUCAUAAAUUAUUCUCUUUUAAAAGAAAUUCUUCUUUUCUAGAUCGCUAUUAUUUUUCAUUUAAACGACUUUCAUGGUAACAUAACGAAAUCGAGCUCGUAAAAAAUUUCUCAAAUCUAUGUGUAUACUUUAUACGUUUUAUUAUUAAAUGCAAACUGAAUAAGAAAUGAAAGAAAAUGACGACGGCGAUGAUAUCAGCUGUAGGAAAUAUAACGAGCGGAAAAAUAUCGUGAUGACGUGACACGAACGCUGCAUAAAUUUGAUGGAAUAUUCCUAUAAUUGCAUCGGAAUGGAGACAUUAAGAGGAUUGUAAAAAACUAGAAGCCGAUGAAGUCGCGUAAAAGGGGAAAAGAAGAAUAACUACGAGCGCACUAAAACGAAGAGGUAUUCAAGAGUCCGUAAUGUUCUCAGAAACGGUACUGAAUUUCUGGGAAGGAGACCUUAUCUAGCAAGCACAGAUAGCAGCCAAUAACGACAACGACGAAGACGACAACGAGGUUGAGGUGAAGGAGAAUGAAGAGGAAAAGAAAAAUACAACGACAGAAACGCAAAAAGUUACAUGUGUUAGAUGGCACACCGACUAAUAGUGCAAGAGGUCUUAUUCCGAUGAGAAUAUAUGAAGCGACACGAAGGGAAACAAGCGAAACUCAGUUGUUCGCUGACUGCACUAUAAAAUACAUCGUAAAAGGGAAGAAAAAAACUGGACAAAAGUGAAAAAACGGAUCGAAAGAACAAACGAGAAGUGUCUCUUUUGCGAAAAUGUCCAUAGUUAUCCAAAACGAACGAGUUGAGUGAGUAUCGGUCAAUCUUUUCAUUUAUUAUUCUCGCAAAUUAUCUUCUUUUUAAUAUUUAAACUUAAAUAAGUGCAAAUAUUUUUAGCCGACACUAUGUUGACAGGUUCUACUUCGUGAAAUUCUCAGCACUAUUUCGAUAGAACUAUUGGACGUAUAAUCAUAAAUUUUAUAGGAACCGGUCCGCGAAUUUAUUUUCUGUCUUUUAAACUUCUUAAAUAUGGAAGAACGAAGGACACGUUUCUACUAUAUUAUUUAAUGAUAUACAAAAAAAAAUAGAGAGAGAGAGAGAGAACUCGUAAGUGAAUGGAACGAUCGUAGAUAAAAAAAAAAAAAAAAGAAUUUUGAAAAAGUCGCUAAAAUAAUCAUGCAAAUUUUAAUCGAAUUACUUGAUUUUAUGUAAUUUAUGCGACAUCUACGUUGUUUCGAAUUCGACUCGACAAAUUUUACUGAAAUAC
Vespa mandarinia (Asian giant hornet) is the source of this 1551-nucleotide long non-coding RNA. NCBI's taxonomy places the organism in Eukaryota, Metazoa, Arthropoda, Insecta, Hymenoptera, Vespidae. The record is from RefSeq and is a predicted model, not a curated record.